UACGUAGGAGGCAAGCGUUGUCCGGAAUCAUUGGGCGGAAAGAGCGUGUAGGCGGCCAGAUAAGUCCGCUGUGAAAUCUCGAGGCUCAACUUCGAGCUGUCGGUGGAAACUAUCUGGCUAGAGUCCGGAAGAGGAGAAUGGAAUUCCUGGUGUAGCGGUGAAAUGCGCAGAUAUCAGGAAGAACACCCGUGGCGAAGGCGGUUCUCUGGAACGCAACUGACGCUGAGACGCGAAAGCGUGGGGAGCAAACAGG
Molecule: ribosomal RNA, 253 nt
Filed under: uncultured bacterium
Lineage: Bacteria
Description: partial 16S ribosomal RNA
Rfam family: Bacterial small subunit ribosomal RNA
Source: RNAcentral